This 64-nucleotide non-coding RNA is filed under the name Mycolicibacterium phlei. Lineage: Bacteria; Bacillati; Actinomycetota; Actinomycetes; Mycobacteriales; Mycobacteriaceae. The record is from RNAcentral. RNAcentral also lists the same sequence under 1 other name.
GCAGGAGCCUAUCGGCUUCCCGGACGAGGUGCGUCGUACCCGGUCAGCGACAAGACGACGCAUU